RNAcentral lists this ribosomal RNA (450 nucleotides) under uncultured bacterium. Its description in RNAcentral is "bacterial SSU rRNA". It matches the Rfam family "Bacterial small subunit ribosomal RNA", at positions 355 to 796 of the family's 1533-position model. The record is from RNAcentral.
UAGGGAAUUGUUCGCAAUGGGCGCAAGCCUGACGACGCAACGCCGCGUGGAGGAUGAAGACCUUCGGGUCGUAAACUCCUUUCGACCGAGAUGAAUGCCCGCCGACCUAACACGUCGGCGGAUUGACAGUAUCGAGGGAAGAAGCCCCGGCUAACUCCGUGCCAGCAGCCGCGGUAAUACGGGGGGGGCAAGCGUUGUUCGGAAUUACUGGGCGUAAAGGGUUCGUAGGUGGCCCUCUAAGUCAGACGUGAAAUCCCUCAGCUCAACUGGGGAACUGCGUCUGAGACUGGAGGGCUUGAGUGCAGGAGAGGAACGCGGAAUUCCAGGUGUAGCGGUGAAAUGCGUAGAUAUCUGGAGGAACACCGGUGGCGAAGGCGGCGUUCUGGACUGUUACUGACACUGAGGAACGAAAGCCAGGGGAGCAAACGGGAUUAGAUACCCCCGUAGUCC